UCCUACGGGAGGCAGCAGUGGGGAAUAUUGGACAAUGGGCGAAAGCCUGAUCCAGCCAUGCCGCGUGUGUGAAGAAGGUCUUCGGAUGUAAAGCACUUUAAGUUGGGAGGAAGGGCAGUUACCUAAUACGUGAUGUGUGACGUACCGACAGAUAGCUCCGAUUCGGACC
This 169-nucleotide ribosomal RNA is filed under the name Pseudomonas sp. MB101. RNAcentral's name for it is "partial 16S ribosomal RNA". It matches the Rfam family "Bacterial small subunit ribosomal RNA", at positions 337 to 504 of the family's 1533-position model. RNAcentral also lists the same sequence under 1 other name. Lineage: Bacteria; Pseudomonadati; Pseudomonadota; Gammaproteobacteria; Pseudomonadales; Pseudomonadaceae. The record is from RNAcentral.